UUCGUCACUUUAUUAUCACGAAACUCGACAGACCAGAGCAUGGAAUGGCGGGUGGUUUCGUUUUUGCCAUUUCCGGUUCCCGUUGGUUCGCAGAGCAGCAUGAAGAUGACGGUUAACUGUGUGUAUUCAUCUUUGGAUUAUUGUUGUCUUCGAAAAUACAUGUCUACAUUUGUUACGAUGGAUAACGAUUUAUUGAUUUCGCUCGCCAAGCAUACAAACGCCACCUCAACAUGUCAUAGGCGGUAAAUAUGUUCAUCUGUGUUGGGCGAAAGCAAAGGGUUGGCGGUGCCGCAGGGAAUCUCAUAGAUAAAAUAUGAUUCACGUUUGAUAUGACAACGUUUAUCCUGUGAUUCCGAUAGCCCUACUCAAUUCUGCACGUAUCCCGAAGGUUCGUACGUACUCAACGCAAUUACACGGCUUGUCUCGCUUCCUACGCUGGACGUCGUUACCUCCAUCGGCUCGUUUCCCCGUUUGUUAUCCCACGUGACGGCACAGGGUUGGCAACAAACGGAGCAGCUCCGCUGUUGUUAGGGGGCAGAAAUUCGUCCACUAACACUGUCCAUGACCAACGGAUGGCUGCGCCCGGGCGGUCGCACUCGGGGAUAGGAGAAUCCCAUUGACGGCGCGCCAAGUACGUUCUCUGGAGUCUUCCUGUAUUAACUCUAUGGUUGAUUUAAAAGAUCAAUCGAAAGUCAAGCACGCGCUGUAAUAUGCCAUCACUUUUCUGUAUCUUCCACGGACAUGCUCCGUACAGCAUCCCGUCGGUCACCUUGCUCGGAUGUUCAUGGCAACAAGAUCACAAUGAAAGAUCUAGCAAGCUAUAUUUUAUCGCACAUUGAACCCAGUGCAUGGAGUAUCAAUUGAAAUAAUUCAAUUUGUAUUUGUACCCUGCAUUUUUUGUAUUUUUCUCUUGGUAGCAUUUUUUGUAGUUUAUACAUGAUCACUGCUGGUUCAGUUGAAUUUGGUUAUGACAUACAAACCGGAACACUAAAUAAUGCAUGGGUGCAGGCAUUGAAAUGCACAAUGCAGUAUUAAACUAAUUUACUUCUCCGAUAUAUGUACUCCGGCUGACGGCCGCAGCAUGUGGGCAAAUGACUAUAACUGGAAGAUCCCAUGAUGACGCUCUCUGGAUCUCCUCCGGGCAUCCCAUCACGGACGAGGACGCGAUGACACUUUGUGGACGUCCUGAGGAUCGCGAGUGUUCUUGGGGAACGCGACGCAUAAAAAAGUGAGACGUAUUUACAUUGUCGGGCUUCAUACUUCAAGAAGGAGGCUUCUUCUGUGCUGUAAAGUAAAUCGUGUUCACUUUAGAUGCCCGCGGACCGGCGCAUGCACUUACAGCUUUCGAACCGCCAAUCUUCAAAGUCGUAAACGCGCGCAACGACAAAAAGCAAGCAAGCCGGUCUUGGAUUGGAUACCAAUUUGGCUCGCAUCCGCGCCACAAUAGCGACCGCUGCGAUGCUAUACGUUCGUAGCGCGUCGAAAAAUUAUCUAUAUGCUGAAUGAUAACGCAUGAUAUUAUGCUGUCAGUGGCAACAAAGGUCGUUGUUUAGAAAUCGGUGCUUUAAGAAACAACACUGUAUUAUUCCACUCUCGCAGAUCAUUGUAGCAGCUUCUGACUGUUAGAGCAGUUGGCGGUGACCACACGGGUAAACGAAAAGCAGCGGCAGAGUUUCUGCACAAGUUUUGUGUCACAAAGUAAAUAAUGCGGAUUGCAAGCGCUGAUGUGAGCUUCGGUUUCCUGUUCUCUAAUGUUCUCCUGGUUCUGCAUAUCGCUCCAAAAGCAUUCUCCGAGCGUCGAUUAAGUUUUCCUUGUAAACUUUAAAGAAUGUGAGACACAUUAUUAUACCGUAUUAAGCAGUACAACGUGGUAUAAGUGAACGCACACCAAACAACAUACGGUACCUGAGUGUUCUGCAAACGCAAAGAAGGCUAUCAGAAAGAUGGCACGCAUGCCCUAUGCAUGACUGUGAAGUAAGACCCGAGACAAGGAGGUCUUACUUCACAGUCAUGCACCAGCAGCUUGUCAGCGCCAUUUCGCUUCUGCCCUAUGCAUGUCCAGGUUCAGACGUAACUGCGACGUUCGCAUUUUCCCAAACGCCAUUCCGGGGUGUACAUCGGGUAUCCAAGGAUAUCUGGACAUGCGGGACGUUCGGGACCUAUCCCGGAUAUCCCCUGGAUAUUCGGGGUUUACUGGGUAUCUAUCUCUAUCGAACUUUUUUGUUGUCUGAACGUUGUCUAUCUCUGUCAAACCCCUUUCAAGAGUCAGUUUCCUUUACAACAACCUAGCUCGCAAGUCGUCGAGCCCCACAGGAAAUGUGGUUGGUAUGGCUUUCGCGCAAUAUGGACGUCGAAGUAAUCUCAGGCGAAAAAUCCUGACCGGUCCCGGAAUGGUUCCAUGCAGUUGAAUGUGAAUUGUACCAGCUGGAUUCCCAAGUGGAGUGGCUGGUUCCACUUUGGUGAAGUAUAAGUGGUACCACUUGGGCCUCAUAUGGUCCCAGCUGGACCCUCACAGGUACCAUUUUGUUUCCAGAAUGGGCAAUUCACCUACUUGAGAUCCCAAGCUGGACAGCUUCCCCAUUUGAGAUGGCAUGGGGGAAGAGUCCACUCUUGCCACAUGCCCUUCCGGUUUUGUUUGAUCUAUUAUUUUGAUCUAUUUAACACAUGUAUGAUCUCUUUUUAUUGCUUUUUAUCCAUCUGCAUCUGCGAUCAAAUAUAUGCCAUAACGUCAAUUCAUGCUCACAUUCUCAUCUAAAGAUGAACAUCAUAAGCUGAUUGUUAAAAACUAUAAUUCUUGACAACCUCUUACGCAGACGUGACCUUGCAGUCACCUUCUCCGUGUACUGUUUGGCAAGGUGAUAAAGUCUUACCUUCCCAUAACAGUCUGCAACAUGUUUUGCAAGGCGAAUGACAUGGUUUUCGUCUGCACUGCACUCAAACAUGUGCUGGCUCAAAGUAGGAAAAAUGUCCAGUCUUGCAGACGUGCACAGGAUGUCCUGCAAGACGGCCCUUGUGAGAAGCUGCCCAAGCUGAGCAUUGGAUGACAAGGUUCCGUCUGAGAUAUGAAGUAUUUGACGAACACGUUUUUCUGUUGUUUUACAAAUGGUGAUGGCACUCUGAGACGCACUAAUCAGACCACCUCGAGACUUUCGACGAAGAAGAGCACUGUGUAGAGUUCUGUCUGUGAGAGCGUCAAUGCAGUCAGCACAGGAGAUCUUUCUUGUCACCAUCUUGACAACGUAGCCCGCGAUGUACCCCACAACAUCUUCAACAAAGGUUGACAGUUGCUCUGUAUCAUGUACAUCCGCGUAGUCGUGGUCUUCAACACGUUCACUCUGUGCAGUACCAAAAUAGCGUGAUGCAUGAAUGUCAAGUUCGUCAAGGGAAGUAGCUGCUGCUGCGGCUGUCACAGUCGGUAUACGUGUGGAGUCUUGGACGAUACAAUUACCUCGUGCUGUAGGCUCGAUUUCAUGGUGAACAAGGAGCCUCUUGUAUGCAGCCAUGAAGUGUCCUGCCGUUGGAUUAUUGCCACCUUUACCCCCCACCCACCUUUACCCCUCAACGCACAAAAGAAAAGUUCGAGGUGGUCUUGAGAGAGUUUGUAUGUCAGCAGAUACCUUAAGAGUGCAUGAUCUCCCGAAAGAAGAUGGCUGCAUAGGCUUUGAAUGCUUGCCAUGUUGAUCAGGAAUCCAAGGGAGCCUGUUUUUCGUGGGGAUUCUAAUAUUGGCUUUCCAGAUGCAUCUUUCAGGUUGCCAAUAUAUGCAGUCAUCUCGUUGAAGAAUGGAAUCCAAAGGUGGCGGGUUGGAUACCGGAUGGGUGCUUUGAAGUUCUUUGCCAGGGGAUUGCGGGAGUUCAUGAUGUCGAACAGACGAUCGAACUUCCUGAGGAAUUCCACUGUUGCCUCACAUCCACGAAACAUUGGACUGUUUAUGUUCCUGUCACAGCACUCCAGAGCAUCCGCAACACUUGAGCUGAUUGUCUGAGCUGCCAAAUUCACCUUCAUCUUCUGACUUCCCCAGUCAAUGGUUCCCAUUGUUGCCAGGGCAUUACGAAUGAGCUUCAGCAUGUGGCAAGCAUCGAGGAUUACAUGAACUCUCCAGGAAGAAUCAGAAGGGUGCUGAAACCAUGGCCUGAUGUCAGGGCUUUUCAUGUCUGCACCAAGGUCUUGAAACAUGGCUGUUGAUGAGAAAGUAUGCACAUGGCACUUUCCAGUUACUGUCCAAAACAACCACAAGGAAUACAAGAGCUUGCGUAGCUGGUUCCUGACUGUCGUCGUCAAUGCCAGUGCCUAGGUUUAUGAAACCAUUAAAGGACUGUCCUGUGAACUGAAUCUGCUUCUUUAUGCUCAUUUCAUCGAGCAUUAGUGAACACACGACACGUUUAGAUAGCUUCCGCUGCUCUUCUACUCUUGCUUUCAAGGCAUCAAAUGCUUCCUGUGUAAAUCCUGGCUCACCAUGGAUUGCACUGUACCAUGACCUGAUUGUUGCCUGGUGCGGAAGAGCCAAAUUGAACGUCUUUCUCACAUACUCAUACACUUUUGCGGAGUAGAACUGCAGCGUGAGAGCAAAACUACGUAGGGAUGGGGGGUACUGCUCUCUGCUGAUCUUCCCAUGUUUGUUGUGUAUAGUACGUAGCACCAAACCCAACUGCACAUCCGAAAGGGAGCCACGGAGAAUGUCGCUGCACUGUUUUGAAACCAGUGACUUUUUCUGGAGGUCUUCUAUUACACUUUCUGUAGUUACCACCUUUUCCUUCAGUCUCAAAUUCUUCUCCUGGGUAUGCUUCACUUUUUUGCUUGCACUUUCUAGUGCCUCGACUGCGACGUUCACCUUCCGUUUUAAUGUACGAGGACUCUCUUGCACUACGUGUGU
Ornithodoros turicata is the source of this 4871-nucleotide long non-coding RNA. RefSeq lists it as uncharacterized. NCBI's taxonomy places the organism in Eukaryota, Metazoa, Arthropoda, Arachnida, Ixodida, Argasidae. The record is from RefSeq and is a predicted model, not a curated record. The transcript has 3 exons.